RNAcentral lists this ribosomal RNA (389 nucleotides) under Pseudoscourfieldia sp. Its description in RNAcentral is "partial small subunit ribosomal RNA". It matches the Rfam family "Eukaryotic small subunit ribosomal RNA", at positions 582 to 975 of the family's 1831-position model. The record is from RNAcentral. Lineage: Eukaryota; Viridiplantae; Chlorophyta; Pseudoscourfieldiophyceae; Pseudoscourfieldiales; Pseudoscourfieldiaceae.
AUUCCAGCUCCAAUAGCGUAUAUUUAAGUUGUUGCGGUUAAAAAGCUCGUAGUUGGAUUUCGGGCGUGGAGGUUCGGUCCGCCGUUUCGGUGUGCACUGUCUUUCUGCGUCUUUCUGUCGGGGACGCGCUUCUGGCCUUAAUUGGCUGGGACGUGGAUUCGACGAGGUUACUUUGAAAAAAUUAGAGUGUUCAAAGCAAGCUAAAGCUCUGAAUACAUUAGCAUGGAAUAACGCGAGAGGACUCGGUCCUUAUUUUGUUGGUCUUCAAGGAUGGAGUAACGAUUAACAGGGACAAUUGGGGGCAUUAGUAUUCAGACGACAGAGGUGAAAUUCUUGGACCGUCUGAAGACUGACUACUGCGAAAGCAUUUGCCAAGAGUGUUUUCAUUA